UUCUUUGUGUGAAACAAGUAUGUAAGGUUCACGCUGCAAAAGAGGAGCAAAAAGUAACAAGAAGAGGAAACGGCGCUUUUAUCUGUCGUUGACUUGAUCCUGUGGGAAAGAUUUGAUCCACACCAGUGGGACGAUACAGAAGUUUUAAAAAGAGGACUGGAUGAUUUACAGGGAGAAGAUGAUCUGCAGCAUCCUGCUCGUCCUCAGCCUGACCUCCUGUGUCUCUGGAAUAUUAGUAGUGAAUGUGACACAGACCUCCUAUCAGGCAGAGGAGAACCAGAACAUCACACUGGAGUGGACCUGGACCAGUAGUAACACUUCCCUCAAACACUUAUUUAUCACCUGCCAACUGUUAGCUGAACUC
Long non-coding RNA from Centropristis striata (black sea bass), 364 nucleotides. RefSeq lists it as uncharacterized. The transcript is spliced from 3 exons. The record is from RefSeq and is a predicted model, not a curated record. Lineage: Eukaryota; Metazoa; Chordata; Actinopteri; Perciformes; Serranidae.